This 460-nucleotide ribosomal RNA is filed under the name uncultured bacterium. RNAcentral's name for it is "partial 16S ribosomal RNA". It matches the Rfam family "Bacterial small subunit ribosomal RNA", at positions 338 to 795 of the family's 1533-position model. The record is from RNAcentral.
CCUACGGGAGGCAGCAGUGAGGAAUAUUGGUCAAUGGGCGCGAGCCUGAACCAGCCAAGUAGCGUGAAGGAUGACUGCCCUACGGGUUGUAAACUGCGGUUAUAAAGGAAUAAAGUGAGGCACGUGUGCCUUUUUGUAUGUACUUUAUGAAUAAGGAUCGGCUAACUCCGUGCCAGCAGCCGCGGUAAUACGGAGGAGCCGAGCGUUAUCCGGAUUGAUGGGGUUUAAAGGGAGCGUAGAUGGGUUGUUAAGUCAGUUGUGAAAGUUUGAGGCUCAACCGUAAAAUUGCAAUUGAUACUGGCAGCCUUGAGUACAGUUGAGGUAGGCGGAAUUCGUUGUGUAGCGGUGAAAUGCUUAGAUAUCACGAAGAACUCCGAUUGCGAAGGCAGCUUACUAAACUGCAACUGACAUUGAUGCUCGAAAGUGUGGGUAUCAAACAGGAUUAGAUACCCCGGUAGUC